Molecule: ribosomal RNA, 655 nt
Filed under: uncultured bacterium
Lineage: Bacteria
Description: bacterial SSU rRNA
Rfam family: Bacterial small subunit ribosomal RNA
Source: RNAcentral
GGAUGAGCCCGCGGCCUAUCAGCUUGUUGGUGGGGUGAUGGCCUACCAAGGCGACGACGGGUAGCCGGCCUGAGAGGGUGAUCGGCCACAUUGGGACUGAGAUACGGCCCAGACUCCUACGGGAGGCAGCAGUGGGGAAUAUUGCACAAUGGGCGGAAGCCUGAUGCAGCGACGCCGCGUGAGGGAUGACGGCCUUCGGGUUGUAAACCUCUUUCAGCAGGGACGAAGCGUAAGUGACGGUAUGUGCAGAAGAAGGACCGGCCAACUACGUGCCAGCAGCCGCGGUAAUACGUAGGGUCCGAGCGUUGUCCGGAAUUAUUGGGCGUAAAGGGCUCGUAGGCGGUUUGUCACGUCGGGAGUGAAAACCAGGUGCUUAACACCUGGCCUGCUUUCGAUACGGGCAGACUAGAGGUACUCAGGGGAGAAUGGAAUUCCUGGUGUAGCGGUGAAAUGCGCAGAUAUCAGGAGGAACACCGGUGGCGAAGGCGGUUCUCUGGGAGUAUCCUGACGCUGAGGAGCGAAAGUGUGGGGAGCGAACAGGAUUAGAUACCCUGGUAGUCCACACCGUAAACGUUGGGCGCUAGGUGUGGGAUCCAUUCCACGGGUUCCGUGCCGCAGCUAACGCAUUAAGCGCCCCGCCUGGGGAGUACGGCCG